CCUUCAGACAGGCCAUACUUUAUAAGAAGUUGGACAACCGGAACCUGCACAGGGUGAUCCGGGUGGUCUGCGGCCCCACGUACGGAACUGUAGUUCGUGCUCUGAUCAACCGACAACAUCUUCUGCCGAACCUCCGGGAGUCUCCAAGCUCGCCAACGUAGACCAACCUUAUCUAGGACAGGUUUAAGAUUGUUGACUGGAGAGUCCGGUACAAGGCUUCUGAUCUUAUUAAUAUAUUUAAGUCCUUGCCUGAUUCUCCUAAGGGCCAAAGGCAUUACACCCAGCUCAACAAGGACACUGUCAUAUGGCAUACAGAUAGUGCCCCCCAACAAUAUCUUGAGUGCUCUACCAUAAACGCCAUCAAGUUUUCUAAGCUGAGUCUGGGAGGCACAACCAAAGGCCUGAGCACCAUACUGAAGUCUGGACACAAUAAUAUAAAUGAAUGAAUGUUUAACGACACCCCAGCACGAAAAAUACAUCGGCUAUUGGGUGUCAAACUAUGGUAAUGCAAAUAAAUAAAGUGAUGAUCAAUA
Molecule: long non-coding RNA, 533 nt
Organism: Gigantopelta aegis
Lineage: Eukaryota; Metazoa; Mollusca; Gastropoda; Neomphalida; Peltospiridae
Exons: 2
Source: RefSeq, a predicted model, not a curated record